AAUACCGCAUAAGGCCACAUUGCCGCAUGGCACAGUGGUAAAAACUCCGGUGGUGUAAGAUGGGCCCGCGUCUGAUUAGGUAGUUGGGGGGGGGGAGGCCCACCCACCCGACUAUCAAUAGCCGGCCUGAGAGGGUGGACGGCCACUUUGGCACUGACACACGGCCCAAACUCCUACGGCAGGUACGGGGGGGAAAUAUUGCACAAUGGGGAAAACCCUGAUGCCCCGACGCCGCGUGAGCAAGGAAUUAUUUCGGUAUGUAAAGCUCUGUCAGCAGGGAAUAAAAUGAAGGGGCCUGACCAACAAGCCCCGGCUAACUGCUUGCCAGCAGCCGCAGUAAUACGUAGGGGGCAUGCGUUAUCCGUAUUUAGUGGGUGUAAAGAGAGCGUACACGGAGUGACAAUCUGAUGUAAAAACCCGGGCCCCAACCCCGGCAGUGCUUUAAAAACUGUUUUUCUGGAGCGUAGGAGAGGCAGGCGGAAUUCCUAGUGUAGAGAAUAAAUGCAAAAUAUAUUAGAAAGAACACCAAUGGCGAAGGCUGCCUGCUGUAACGGGACUGACGUUGAGGCUCAGAAGCGAGGGGAGCGAAUAGAUCACGCUCCCCUGCUCGCCACGCCACGACCAUGACUACUGGUGUCGGCGCAAGGGUGUUCGAUGCCUCACCCUACGCAGUAAGCAGUCAACUGGCUAGUUCGUUCGAAGAAUGAA
This 708-nucleotide ribosomal RNA is filed under the name uncultured bacterium. RNAcentral describes it as "bacterial SSU rRNA". It matches the Rfam family "Bacterial small subunit ribosomal RNA", at positions 165 to 898 of the family's 1533-position model. The record is from RNAcentral.